CAGUCGCCACGGUAAUACGAAGGGGGCUAGCGUUGUUCGGAUUUACUGGGCGUAAAGGGCGCGUAGGCGGACUGAUAAGUCAGGGGUGAAAUCCCAAGGCUCAACCUUGGAACUGCCUUUGAUACUGUUUGUCUUGAGUUCGAGAGAGGUAAGUGGAACUGCGAGUGUAGAGGUGAAAUUCGUAGAUAUUCGCAAGAACACCAGUGGCGAAGGCGGCUUACUGGCUCGAAACUGACGCUGAGGCGCGAAAGCGUGGGGAGCAAAUGGGAUUAGAGACCCCUGUAGUCCCUGUCUCUUAUAU
This 301-nucleotide ribosomal RNA is filed under the name uncultured bacterium. RNAcentral's name for it is "partial 16S ribosomal RNA". It matches the Rfam family "Bacterial small subunit ribosomal RNA", at positions 509 to 809 of the family's 1533-position model. The record is from RNAcentral.